GUCUAUGGCCAUACCACCCUGAACAUACCCGAUCUUAUCUGAUCUCAGAAGCUAAGCAGGGUCGGGCCUGGUUAGUACUUAGAUAGGAUAAAAUACAGUCAUUUACU
This is a non-coding RNA of Heterocephalus glaber (naked mole-rat), 107 nucleotides long. The record is from Rfam. Lineage: Eukaryota; Metazoa; Chordata; Mammalia; Rodentia; Bathyergidae.